Molecule: long non-coding RNA, 198 nt
Organism: Oreochromis niloticus (Nile tilapia)
Lineage: Eukaryota; Metazoa; Chordata; Actinopteri; Cichliformes; Cichlidae
Exons: 3
Source: RefSeq, a predicted model, not a curated record
GACCUCAGUCUGACCCUGAAAGACCUCCACCUCACUGACAGUGGAGUCUACACCUGCACCGUCUACAACAAGGAUGGACACAUGCUGCUACAGAAAUCAGUGACUCUCAGUGUCAGAGAAAACAACGACAGAUCCAGAUUUCCAACAGGGAGACACGUCUGACACAGGAUGGGGGAAUACUGUUACUGGAUGGGUGAG